GUCCAUAUUGUCUAAUGGUAAAGACACCUAUAACUUGUUAUUGCUCCUAUGAGUUGUUUCAAUAUUGGCAGGGUGAUCUGAGUUCGAUCCUCAGUAUGGACA
Molecule: non-coding RNA, 102 nt
Organism: Collybiopsis luxurians FD-317 M1
Lineage: Eukaryota; Fungi; Basidiomycota; Agaricomycetes; Agaricales; Omphalotaceae
Source: the annotation of a GenBank genome assembly